GACGAACGCUGGCGGCGUGCCUAAUACAUGCAAGUCGAGCGGACGAAUCGAAAGCUUGCUUUUGAUUCGUUAGCGGCGGACGGGUGAGUAACACGUGGGCAACCUGCCCUGUAGACGGGGAUAACACCGAGAAAUCGGUGCUAAUACCGGAUAACACGAAAUGUCGCAUGACGUUUCGUUGAAAGACGGCGCAAGCUGUCGCUACAGGAUGGGCCCGCGGCGCAUUAGCUAGUUGGUGAGGUAACGGCUCACCAAGGCGACGAUGCGUAGCCGACCUGAGAGGGUGAGCGCCCCCCUUGGACCUGAACCCCGGCCCAAACCCCUACGGGGGGCAGCAGUGGGAAAUCUUCCGCAAGGGACGAAAGUCGGACGGGGCAACGCCGGGGGGGCAAAGAAGGCCUUCGGGUCGUAAAGCCCUGUUUUUAGGAAAAAAAAAGUAACGCAGUAACUGGCUUUACCGUGCCGGUACCUAACGAGAAAGCCACGGCUAACUCCGU
Molecule: ribosomal RNA, 497 nt
Filed under: uncultured bacterium
Lineage: Bacteria
Description: partial 16S ribosomal RNA
Rfam family: Bacterial small subunit ribosomal RNA
Source: RNAcentral